Molecule: ribosomal RNA, 741 nt
Filed under: uncultured Bacillota bacterium
Lineage: Bacteria; Bacillati; Bacillota
Description: bacterial SSU rRNA
Rfam family: Bacterial small subunit ribosomal RNA
Source: RNAcentral
AGAGUUUGAUCAUGGCUCAGGAUGAACGCUGGCGGCGUGCCUAACACAUGCAAGUCGAGCGAGAAUGUUUUGAUGGAUUCUUCGGAUGAAAUUAAAACAGGAAAGCGGCGGACGGGUGAGUAACGCGUAGGCAACCUACCCUAUACAGAAGGAUAGCCUCGGGAAACUGGGAAUAAUACUUCAUAAAACUCUAACAUCGCAUGAUGAAUGAGUCAAAAUUCAGGUGGUAUAGGAUGGGCCUGCGUCUGAUUAGCUAGUUGGUAAGGUAAUGGCUUACCAAGGCGGCGAUCAGUAGCCGACCUGAGAGGGUGAUCGGCCACACUGGAACUGAGACACGGUCCAGACUCCUACGGGAGGCAGCAGUGGGGAAUAUUGCACAAUGGGCGAAAGCCUGAUGCAGCAACGCCGCGUGAACGAUGAAGGCCUUCGGGUCGUAAAGUUCUGUUCUAAGGGAAGAAUAAAUGACGGUACCUUAGAAGAAAGCCCCGGCUAACUACGUGCCAGCAGCCGCGGUAAUACGUAGGGGGCAAGCGUUAUCCGGAAUCAUUGGGCGUAAAGGGUGCGUAGGCGGUUAUGUAAGUUAGAGGUGAAAGGCUAUGGCUCAACCAUAGUAAGCCUUUAAAACUGCAUAACUUGAGUGCAGGAGAGGAGAGUGGAAUUCCUAGUGUAGCGGUGAAAUGCGUAGAUAUUAGGAGGAACACCAGUGGCGAAUGCGACUCUCUGGACUGUAACUGACGCUGA